GCACAAGCGGUGGAUGAUGUGGUUUAAUUCGAUGCAACGCGAAAACCUUACCUACCUUUGACAUGUACGGAAUUCGCCAGAGAUGGCUUAGUGCUCGAAAGAGAACCGUAACACAGGUGCUGCAUGGCUGUCGUCAGCUCGUGUCGUGAGAUGUUGGGUUAAGUCCCGCAACGAGCGCAACCCUUGUCAUUAGUUGCUACAUUUAGUUGGGCACUCUAAUGAGACUGCCGGUGACAAACCGGAGGAAGGUGGGGAUGACGUCAAGUCCUCAUGGCCCUUAUAGGUAGGGCUACACACGUCAUACAAUGGAUGGUACAAAGGGUCGCCAACCCGCGAGGGGGAGCCAAUCCCAUAAAACCAUUCGUAGUCCGGAUCGCAGUCUGCAACUCGACUGCGUGAAGUCGGAAUCGCUAGUAAUCGUGGAUCAGAAUGUCACGGUGAAUACGUUCCCGGGUCUU
Molecule: ribosomal RNA, 458 nt
Filed under: uncultured Polaromonas sp.
Lineage: Bacteria; Pseudomonadati; Pseudomonadota; Betaproteobacteria; Burkholderiales; Comamonadaceae
Description: bacterial SSU rRNA
Rfam family: Bacterial small subunit ribosomal RNA
Source: RNAcentral